UGACGUUUUUAUCCAAUGCCGUGAUUGGUCAAAGCAAAAGUUUGGUAGGUGUGCACAAAAUGCCGCAUCGCCCAAUCAGCGCCAAGUUUUUAUGUUUUGCAUUCUAUGGGACUGUGAAGAAAGUGCCGCGAGAACUUGAAGAUGGAUAAUUUGGGUCGAUUUCAUUGGGGGCUCUUGGCGGCGGCCUUAGCCAAUCAGAAGAAAGCUCAUUGCAUUGUUUCAUAUGAGCAGCCAAUCCAGUAUCCCGUUGUUGAGGGGAGGAGUCAGUUUGCCAGCCUCUUCCAGGAAGUGAAGUCCGCAUCAAGCAUUUGCUACAAUUUGCAUUUCUCUCUUGGGACACCGCUGCGAUGUAGUUGUGCUGCGUUUUCCUGGCCAACGGCAGACUGGAAUGAUGGCAAGUCAACCCAUUUGUCGAACCUGAACUGGACGGCCAUCGUUUGCGACCAAACUGAGCGGCGAGCUUUGGGGCACGUAGACGCUGUUAGAGGCUCUGACGACCGUCAGCCGGUGUCCUCGCUGGUGGAGCUCCUCCAGAAGAACCUUC
Molecule: long non-coding RNA, 544 nt
Organism: Hippocampus comes (tiger tail seahorse)
Lineage: Eukaryota; Metazoa; Chordata; Actinopteri; Syngnathiformes; Syngnathidae
Exons: 3
Source: RefSeq, a predicted model, not a curated record